AGGGCGAUCUGAGUGAACAUGC
Molecule: microRNA, 22 nt
Filed under: Danio rerio (zebrafish)
Lineage: Eukaryota; Metazoa; Chordata; Actinopteri; Cypriniformes; Danionidae
Description: Dre-Novel-7_5p (mature (co-guide))
Source: RNAcentral